CUGGACAACGAUUGCUUAGCAACAGGAUGGUAAGAUGCUUGACAAAUGUCGAAGCAUUUUCACUCCGAGCUGCAGACCUUGAAGAAGUCACAAGUCUGUUCUCAAGAUUCUUGAGGAACUCUCGUGUUCAAGGAGCCAUAAGGUACGAAUCACCCUAUUGGAGAUCUCUGGCAGCUACUCGGAUUCAAGUAGCUUGGAGAUACCUGAAAAAACGUUUAAAUCGGGCAGAUCCAUCUCAGAGCAUCCAUCAAUUAUAAUAAUAUAUUUUGUAAGUUGUCAGUGGAGUGCAUUAGGGCUUCUGAAACAUCUGGCCAUAUUUGUAGAAAGUUCAAUCAACAGAAGAGGAAGAGAUGAAGAUACUAGAAGUUUGAAUUUAGCGUUUGUAUACAGAUGGUCAGUGGACAUCCAGGAACAUAAGUCUAGAUUUUUAACCUUGGAGUCAAAUUUAGUCCUAUAUUUGUAGGUUAAAUAUUGAUUUAAAUAGAUGAAGAGUUACUGAAUCAUGUGGCCUUUCUUAGACUUUGUUGAUGUAUGUACAUGUAUGCAAGACCUUUAUCUUCUGCUAAUGGACUUUGGCAAUCUUUUUCAUGCUUCA
Non-coding RNA from Carica papaya (papaya), 595 nucleotides. Lineage: Eukaryota; Viridiplantae; Streptophyta; Magnoliopsida; Brassicales; Caricaceae. The record is from RefSeq and is a predicted model, not a curated record.